This 497-nucleotide ribosomal RNA is filed under the name uncultured bacterium. Its description in RNAcentral is "partial 16S ribosomal RNA". It matches the Rfam family "Bacterial small subunit ribosomal RNA", at positions 28 to 507 of the family's 1533-position model. The record is from RNAcentral.
GAUGAACGCUGGCGGCGUGCCUAAUACAUGCAAGUCGAGCGAACGGACGAGAAGCUUGCUUCUCUGAUGUUAGCGGCGGACGGGUGAGUAACACCUGGAUAACCUACCUAUAAGACUGGGAUAACUUCGGGAAACCGGAGCUAAUACCGGAUAAUAUUUUGAACCGCAUGGUUCAAAAGUGAAAGACGGUCUUGCUGUCACUUAUAGAUGGAUCCGCGCUGCAUUAGCUAGUUGGUAAGGUAACGGCUUACCAAGGCAACGAUGCAUAGCCGACCUGAGAGGGUGAUCGGCCACACUGGAACUGAGACACGGUCCAGACUCCUACGGGAGGCAGCAGUAGGGAAUCUUCCGCAAUGGGCGAAAGCCUGACGGAGCAACGCCGCGUGAGUGAUGAAGGUCUUCGGAUCGUAAAACUCUGUUAUUAGGGAAGAACAUAUGUGUAAGUAACUGUGCACAUCUUGACGGUACCUAAUCAGAAAGCCACGGCUAACUACGUG